GCGGAAGCUACAAAAGGACGCCGGCACACAGCAGAGAUAGCUUUUGUUCUUCAGCAAAGCGCUCUCUGUCUCUUGUCUGUCUUAUUUGGUGUUGUAUUGUCUCAGUCACAAGCAUACAUUAUAAGCAUGGCGAGCUCAAGCAGUUACACGAGGUGUGUGCAUCCCUGCCCACGUUAUAUUACGGGUGGAGACACACAUCGUAAGUGUGUACACUGUAUGGGAGAGCAGCACGCGCAGGCAGCUCUCGAGGGGGCUGCUUGCGAGGAUUGUGAGAGAUUACCAAUCCGUGUGCUGUGCUCCCGCCUGGCUUUUUUCAACGAAGACGGCCAGGCUCGCGAGCCCCGUGGUGCGGGACCCACGUCCGCUGAGGCGGCGCGGCAACGCUCUUCAUGGGGCUCGCAGAUGGAUUUGGCGGAGGAUCCCGAGACUGCCGAGGCACGCUCUCGCGAUUCAUCCGCCAGUUCCGAUGCUCUCCCGCCUCGCGCGGAAGCCCGCCCCGCGGCUUCUUCCGCACGAGUGGAGAGCCCGAUGCUUGAGCUGUCUGCAUCCGAGGAAGUAGACGUGCUCAGCAUCGAGGGCGGGGAUUUUGGGGAUGACUCGCCACCCCAUGUCCCUGCAUAUGAGGAGCUUCUAGAGGUUGUCUCUCGUGCGGUGGCCCGUCUUAAUAUCAGUUGGCCACAUGAGAGGCAGGAAACGCUUAUUAAAAGCAAGUUGGACGAGCGUUUCCUGCAGCACAGAGAGCAACCUCAUCGUCGUGGUUUACCAUUCUUUCCCGAUUUACACAACGAGUUGUGUAAAUCGUGGAACAAACCGCACUCAUCUCGCGUGUCCAACCCCCCUGUGCUAAACUAUAGUGAUAUUUUGGGGGGGCGAGAGAAUGGUUAUGGGAUGAUACCUCGGGUGGAACAGCCGCUUGCCACCUAUUUAGCCCCCGAGUCUGCAUCAUCCCUAAAAACCCCGGUGCUGCCCACUAAACCGUGCCAUGUUACAUCUACAUUAGUGGGCAGGGCUUAUAUGGCUGUGGGUCGGGCUGGUGCUAGUCUGCAUACAAUGGCGAUACUGCAAGCAUACCAGGCCGACCUUCUUAAGGAUAUUGAUGAGGGCGAGGGCCCGACUCCAGAAGAUAUUGCGGAGUUGAGGAAGGCUGCAGAUCUGUCUCUCCGAGUCACCAAGGAAAUGGCCCGUGCUGUCGGCCAUUCCAUGGCGGCGAUGGUGGUCUCGGAGAGACACUUAUGGUUAAAUCUGUCGGGCAUCAGGGAGAAAGACAGGGCUUUCCUCCUCGAUGCCCCGAUUUCGCCUUCUGGCCUGUUCGGAUUGUUGUCUCUCAGAGCAACAUACAUCCCAGGGAAUCAGAAUCAGGGAGCAGAUAUCCUGUCGAGGCAGGGGCUGAAGCCCGGGGAAUGGAGACUCCAUCCCGAGGUGGUGGAGUCAAUAUGUCAGAGGUUCGGCCCAGUGGAAGUGGAUCUAUUCGCAUCUCGGGAGAUGACUCACUGUCCACUGUGGUUCUCCCUCACACAUCCAGCCCCACUGGGGUUGGAUGCCAUGGUACAGACGUGGCCGAGGCUGCGUCUGUAUGCUUUUCCCCCGAUCGCUCUGCUCCCAGGAGUUCUAGAGAGGGUUCGUCGCGACGGCAUCAGUCUAUUAUUGGUAGCCCCAUUGUGGCCAGCCCGAGUAUGGCUCUCAGACAUAAUAUUACUCCUGGACGGCCCUCCAUGGGAGCUUCCCGUCAGGAGGGACCUGCAGACACAGGCAGAGGGCUCAAUAUUUCACCCUUGGCCCGAACUAUGGAAACUGUGGUUCUGGCCCCUAAAGGGGGCACAGUACCGAGAGGCCGACCUGUCAGCAGGAGUAGUGGAGACCAUACUCAGCUCUAGAGCUCCUUCCACCAGGAAAUUGUAAGGCCUAAAAUGGAAUGUUUUCACCUGUCAGAGCUCUCAAAAUAUAUAUCCAGAGGUCCUCCUCAUAGCGGAAGUCAGACCAGUUGUUAGUGUGUUUCGGGUCGCCCAAGAAGGGGCUUCCUGCUUCCAAACAGACCAUUAGCAACUGGAUUGUCCAAGCUAUAUCUAUGGCCUACCAGGUGCGCAAAUUGCCUUCACCUCUGGCCGUGAGGGCUCACUCUACCAGAGGCAUGGCGUCCUCUAGAGCCCUCCUUUCAGGGGUCCCGAUCCAAGAGGUCUGCGAUGCAGCAGGAUGGGCCACCCCUCACACUUUUAUUAGAUUUUACAGCCUGGACAUUCCAUCGACACCUGGCACCCAUGUGCUCUCGUCCUAAGUGUGCCUGUGCGCAGCUUCACACUAGGACAGGCAGGGCUCGUUGUGGCAUAGUGGGAUCUCGUUCCCCAAAGUGUCGGUCGACGCAGUUCGAGGUUCCCUCGAAGGGGAACGUCUCGGGUUACGACUGUAACCCUUGUUCCCCGAGAAAGGGAACGAGAACUGCGUCCCUUCGCCACACCUCCCCCUGCCUGGGAGCGCUUGCUUCAUCACAGAAGCUAUCUCUGUUGUGUGCCGGCGUCCUUUUGUAGCUUCCGCUUAUGCCGUCACACAUUACGUCAUGACGCAACACCAAUCAGGAUUGGCUUAGUUUCAUUCAUACUUCAGAGGCGCUACGCUGAGGGGCAUUUCCCCAAAGUGUCGGUCGACGCAGUUCUCGUUCCCU
Molecule: long non-coding RNA, 2656 nt
Organism: Cyprinus carpio carpio
Lineage: Eukaryota; Metazoa; Chordata; Actinopteri; Cypriniformes; Cyprinidae
Source: Ensembl